Molecule: ribosomal RNA, 427 nt
Filed under: uncultured bacterium
Lineage: Bacteria
Description: bacterial SSU rRNA
Rfam family: Bacterial small subunit ribosomal RNA
Source: RNAcentral
UGGGGAAUUUUGGACAAUGGGCGCAAGCCUGAUCCAUCAAUUCCUCUUUCCUUAUUAAUUCCUUCUUUUUUUAACCUUCUUUUUUACUUACCGACAAUUCUCUUUUUAAUACCUUUUUCUCAUUACUUUACCUUAAUAAUAAGCACCUUCUAACUACGUGCCAGCAGCCGCGGUAAUACGUAGGGUGCGAGCGUUAAUCGGAAUUACUGGGCGUAAAGCGUGCGCAGGCGGUUAUAUAAGACAGAUGUGAAAUCCCCGGGCUCAACCUGGGAACUGCAUUUGUGACUGUAUAGCUAGAGUACGGCAGAGGGGGAUGGAAUUCCGCGUGUAGCAGUGAAAUGCGUAGAUAUGCGGAGGAACACCGAUGGCGAAGGCAAUCCCCUGGGCCUGUACUGACGCUCAUGCACGAAAGCGUGGGGAGCAAACA